Molecule: ribosomal RNA, 497 nt
Filed under: uncultured bacterium
Lineage: Bacteria
Description: partial 16S ribosomal RNA
Rfam family: Bacterial small subunit ribosomal RNA
Source: RNAcentral
GAUGAACGCUGGCGGCGUGCCUAAUACAUGCAAGUCGAGCGAACGGACGAGAAGCUUGCUUUUCUGAUGUUAGCGGCGGACGGGUGAGUAACACGUGGAUAACCUACCUAUAAGACUGGGAUAACUUCGGGAAACCGGAGCUAAUACCGGAUAAUAUUUUGAACCGCAUGGUUCAUAAGUGAAAGACGGUCUUGCUGUCACUUAUAGAUGGAUCCGCGCUGCAUUAGCUAGUUGGUAAGGUAACGGCUUACCAAGGCAACGAUGCAUAGCCGACCUGAGAGGGUGAUCGGCCACACUGGAACUGAGACACGGUCCAGACUCCUACGGGAGGCAGCAGUAGGGAAUCUUCCGCAAUGGGCGAAAGCCUGACGGAGCAACGCCGCGUGAGUGAUGAAGGUCUUCGGAUCGUAAAACUCUGUUAUUAGGGAAGAACAUAUGUGUAAGUAACUGUGCACAUCCUGACGGUACCUAAUCAGAAAGCCACGGCUAACUACGUG